UGAAGGGAAGGGCAACCUGGCAGUAGAUGCAGUUUCAUUUUCCAGCAGUUCCACUUAUAUUUCUUAAUAGACUUCCCUGACCUUAAUUGCCUUUUUCUUCCUUUCAAACUGGGCACAUCUGAAGAGAAUUUCCCCACUGGGAAUAAACCGCCUGGCUAUCACUGUUUUGCCAAUGCAAUCAGAAGAAGGAAGCUGCUGGCUCUUAUAAACAAGGAACACAAAGAGAGAGAACCGGCAAACUGAGGAGUAAGAAAAAGAAGAGACCAUCUUCUACCAAGAUUAGGGCAGGAGAUAUCUACAAGAUCCUCACUUGAGUGGUUGAAACAACAGGAGAAGAUUUUUCAGAGGGACCUAAAGAGAUUAUUCGACUGCUAGAUGAGAACAAGCAUCCAUCCGAAACGAGAUGUUGCUGGAAAGUGUGAAUGGAGUUCAGCGGACAUCAAGAAGAGGAGAGAACUUCAGAGCUCUGCUUUGGUCAGCCCUGGAAUUACAGGGACACUAGAGCUGGAUAAGGCCUUAGUCUGGUACCUUGGAGGCAAGGAUCAUCCUUUUGGGUGCUGCCAUUUUCUCUGUGGCUAAGCACUGACUCUCUGACUUUGAAACUGACUGGACCAUGAUGAUCUAUACAAAAGAACAACAGCUGAGAAUGAUAUUGUUAUCCCAUUUGGCUGGACAGUCAAAAUGGGUAUUUGAAACAAAAACCACUUCCUCUGAAAUGUCAGUAAUAGCUACAAAUACCUGUGGCAAAAAAUCAUAAUCAAUUAUGAAUGUGAUAACAAUCA
Molecule: long non-coding RNA, 782 nt
Organism: Monodelphis domestica (gray short-tailed opossum)
Lineage: Eukaryota; Metazoa; Chordata; Mammalia; Didelphimorphia; Didelphidae
Source: RefSeq, a predicted model, not a curated record